RNAcentral lists this long non-coding RNA (267 nucleotides) under Carica papaya (papaya). Its description in RNAcentral is "long non-coding RNA (CPAP_LNC008037)". The record is from RNAcentral. Lineage: Eukaryota; Viridiplantae; Streptophyta; Magnoliopsida; Brassicales; Caricaceae.
ACAAAAGCUUUGAGUUUUUCUCUCUUAAGCACUUAGACUGAGUUUCAAGUCCAUCUUUAGAUGAAUUAGAACUUGGGCCAUUACUGAACUAGUUUUUGGGUCAGGAUUCUCGGCUCCUUCAAGAGUGGACUCGUCUUGGACUUCCAGGUUUGUUUUUAGCCUAGUUGGGAUCAUCUUAUCACCUCCUCAUUCAAAUAGCCAUAGAGAAAUGCGUUGUUGACAUCCAAUUGGUGUAAUGACUAUUGUUUAACUGUUGCAACAGCCAUU